This 237-nucleotide long non-coding RNA is filed under the name Capsicum annuum. RNAcentral describes it as "long non-coding RNA (CANN_LNC008768)". Lineage: Eukaryota; Viridiplantae; Streptophyta; Magnoliopsida; Solanales; Solanaceae. The record is from RNAcentral.
AUACCACCCGAUAAGAGAGAACUUCCAUCACUUAGUUCAAUUAAUCUUUGAGAUUGUUAUUUCGGUCGCCACCGCAUUUUUGAUACUUUGAAACAAUGAUACAUCAAUAAGAGACAUAUAAAUAGACCAUCAAUGCAAUAACAAUGAAGUAAGAACCCAUUGGCACAUCAAUGAAGUGUUUUGGAGUCAUCAAUGCCUUAACAAAGAAGUAGGAAGUUAUUGGUAUAUCAAUGAAAC